RNAcentral lists this ribosomal RNA (523 nucleotides) under uncultured bacterium. Its description in RNAcentral is "bacterial SSU rRNA". It matches the Rfam family "Bacterial small subunit ribosomal RNA", at positions 356 to 896 of the family's 1533-position model. The record is from RNAcentral.
GGGGAAUAUUGGACAAUGGACCAAAAGUCUGAUCCAGCAAUUCUGUGUGCGCGAUGACGUUUUUCGGAAUGUAAAGUGCUUUCAGUUGGGAAGAAAAAAAUGACGGUACCAACAGAAGAAGUGACGGCUAAAUACGUGCCAGCAGCCGCGGUAAUACGUAUGUCACAAGCGUUAUCCGGAUUUAUUGGGCGUAAAGCGCGUCUAGGUGGUUAUGUAAGUCUGAUGUGAAAAUGCAGGGCUCAACUCUGUAUUGCGUUGGAAACUGCAUGACUAGAGUACUGGAGAGGUAAGCGGAACUACAAGUGUAGAGGUGAAAUUCGUAGAUAUUUGUAGGAAUGCCGAUGGGGAAGCCAGCUUACUGGACAGAUACUGACGCUAAAGCGCGAAAGCGUGGGUAGCAAACAGGAUUAGAUACCCUGGUAGUCCACGCCGUAAACGAUGAUUACUAGGUGUUGGGGGUCGAACCUCAGCGCCCAAGCUAACGCGAUAAGUAAUCCGCCUGGGGAGUACGUACGCAAGUAUG